GACGAACGCUGGCGGCGUGCUUAACACAUGCAAGUCGAACGAUGAAGCCUUAGCUUGCUUUGGUGGAUUAGUGGCGAACGGGUGAGUAACACGUGAGCAACGUGCCCAGGACUCUGGAAUAACCGCGGGAAACCGUGGCUAAUACCGGAUAGGUGCCGAGGCCGCAUGGUCUUCGGUUGGAAAGUUUUUGCGGUUCUGGAUCGGCUCACGGCCUAUCAGCUUGUUGGUGGGGUAAUGGCCUACCAAGGCGACGACGGGUAGCCGGCCUGAGAGGGUGACCGGCCACACUGGGACUGAGACACGGCCCAGACUCCUACGGGAGGCAGCAGUGGGGAAGAUUGCACAAUGGGCGCAAGCCUGAUGCAGCAACGCCGCGUGGGGGAUGACGGCCUUCGGGUUGUAAACCGCUUUUAGUAGGGAAGAAGCGCAAGUGACGGUACCUGCAGAAAAAGCACCGGCUAACUACGU
This 468-nucleotide ribosomal RNA is filed under the name uncultured bacterium. RNAcentral's name for it is "partial 16S ribosomal RNA". It matches the Rfam family "Bacterial small subunit ribosomal RNA", at positions 28 to 506 of the family's 1533-position model. The record is from RNAcentral.